RNAcentral lists this transfer RNA (72 nucleotides) under Marmota marmota marmota (Alpine marmot). It matches the Rfam family "tRNA". Rfam says of the family: Transfer RNA (tRNA) molecules are approximately 80 nucleotides in length. Their secondary structure includes four short double-helical elements and three loops (D, anti-codon, and T loops). RNAcentral also lists the same sequence under 3 other names. The record is from Rfam by way of RNAcentral. Lineage: Eukaryota; Metazoa; Chordata; Mammalia; Rodentia; Sciuridae.
GGGGAUAUAGCUUAGUGUUAGAGUGUCUGCUUAGCACACUCAAGGCCCUGGGUUCAAUCCUCAGCAUUACCA